AGUGAACGCUGGCGGUAGGCCUAACACAUGCAAGUCGAACGGCAGCACAGUAAGAGCUUGCUCUUGCGGGUGGCGAGUGGCGGACGGGUGAGGAAUAUAUCGGAAUCUACUUUUUCGUGGGGGAUAACGUAGGGAAACUUACGCUAAUACCGCAUACGACCUACGGGUGAAAGCAGUGGAUCUUCGGACCUUGCGCGAUUGAAUGAGCCGAUGUGGGAUUAGUUAGUUGGCGGGUUAAUGGCCCACCAUGGGGACGAUCGGCAGCUGGCCGGAGAGGAUGGUCAGCGACACUGGAACUGAGACACGGUCCAGGCUCCUACGGGACGCAGCAGUGGGCAAUAUUGGACAAUGGGCGCAAGCUUGAUCCAACCAUACCGCGUGGGUGAAGGAGACCUUCGGGUUGUAAAGCCCUUUUGUUGGGAAAGAAAAGCAGCAGGUUAAUACCCAGCUGUUCUGACGGUACCCAAAGAAUAAGCACCGGCUAACUUCGUG
This 492-nucleotide ribosomal RNA is filed under the name uncultured bacterium. RNAcentral describes it as "partial 16S ribosomal RNA". It matches the Rfam family "Bacterial small subunit ribosomal RNA", at positions 29 to 507 of the family's 1533-position model. The record is from RNAcentral.